GACAAACCCUGUGCAGCGGGCUUAUCACAUGCAAGUCGCACAAUAACGCUCCCGCUUCCGCCGAUGCUGUUACGGUGGCUGACUGGUGCGUAUCGCUUAAAUAACCUGCCCUCAUGCCCGAGACACUCUCAGGAAACCUUGGCUCAUACCGCACUUCGUCUGGGCACCCCAUGGGGACCAGAUGACACCUUGUGGUUACCCACUCGCCUUUGGAUAGGUCUGCCUUGGAUUAGCUUGUUGGUGAACUAAUAUCUCACCCAGGACACGAUCGCAUAUCUGGUCUUAAAGGACUAUCCUCUACUCUGGGAAUGAUACCCGGCCCACACUCCUACGGCACGCACCUUUGGGGAAUCUUGCUCAAUGGGGUCACCCCUGAUGCAGCCAUGCCUCGUGCCAGGAAUACACCCCUAUGGGGCGUAAACUCCUUUUCUGAACCAACAAACCCCUGUAAGUUCAAGGCUCGACUGUAUUUCAUGAAUAGGCACCACGCUAACUCCGUGCCAGCAGCCGCAGUGAUACUGACGGUGCAAGCAUUGUCCCGAAUCACUCGGGUGUAAAGGGUGUGCACGCGGCGCAUCCAGUCAGAUGUGAAACCCCAUAGCUCAUCCAUGGACGUGCAUUCUAAACUGUUGCUCUUGACUCCCACACACGCUGUCGGACUUACUGGUGUACCGCUGAAAUGCAUACAUAUCACAAGGAACAAUAUAAGCGACAUCGCUCACCUGGACUGAUACUGACGCUCACGCGCGACAGCGUGAGGAGCAUACAGGCUUAGAUACACGUGUAGUGCAUGCCGUCAACGAUGAACGACUCGCGAGUGCUCCGUCAUGGUGCAGUUGCUAAGUUCACGCGAUAAGCGUUCCACCUGCCCGAGUACGAUCGCAAGGUUGAAACUUAAAGGAAUUGACGGGGGCCCGCACAAGCGAUGGAGCAUGAGGCUCAAUUAGAGCAACGCCGAAGAACCUUACCUAGGCUGGAACGCUAAAGGACCGCUCGUGAAAGGGAGCUUCCCCUUUGGGGCGUUUAGCGAGGUAGUGCACGGCUGUUGUCAGCUCGAGUAGUGAGAUGCUGGGUUAAGUCCCGCAAUCGCUGCGUAACCGCUUGUGGGUAGUUACCAGCGGGUAGUGCCGGGGAGUUUAGUGAGACCGCCUGCGCAAGCAGUGAGGAAGGUGGGGACGAUGUCAAGUCAUCAUAUUCCUUAUGCAUAGGGCUGCACACUUGUUACAAUGGCGGGGACAAAGAGCAGCCACCUGGUGAGAGGGAGCGAAUCUAUGAAAGCGGGUUUCAGUUGGGCUUGGAGUCAGCAACCCGACUCCUUGAAGCAGGAAUGGGUAGUAAUAGCGGAUCAGCAAUGCUGUGAUGAAUCCGUUGCGGGGCUUGGUACACACCACCCGUCAAUCCAUGGAAGCGGAGAGCAUCCGAAGUCCGGGAGUAAUCUCCUCGCGUUAGCAGGACAGAGAGCGGCACGAAGGAGAGGUCAGUGAAGGGGGCAU
Molecule: ribosomal RNA, 1493 nt
Filed under: uncultured bacterium
Lineage: Bacteria
Description: bacterial SSU rRNA
Rfam family: Bacterial small subunit ribosomal RNA
Source: RNAcentral